This 705-nucleotide ribosomal RNA is filed under the name Triticum aestivum (bread wheat). RNAcentral's name for it is "partial small subunit ribosomal RNA". The record is from RNAcentral. Lineage: Eukaryota; Viridiplantae; Streptophyta; Magnoliopsida; Poales; Poaceae.
AUGGCUUUCCACCAAAGAUCGAUAAGUUUGCCUUCUAGGCCUCACGUCAGUGAGACCCAAGUCGAGCAAGAGCUUCACAGCCUAGAAGCAAGCAUCUCUUCCUCCAAUUCCAUCAGCAUGAUGUGCGAUGGUCUCAGGAAUCUUGCAAACAUCUACGAUGGUCUUGAAGAGAUUAUUUGCCUACCAAGCCACCAUGUUUUCUCCUCCCAGCAGAGGAACAUGUUGGAUGGAGAAAUGGAAGGUUCUCUUGAGCUGCUAGAUCUCUGCAGCGUCAUGCAAGAGAUCUUCGCCGAGAUGAAGGCCAUCAUCCAAGAGCUGCAAGUGGCUCUAAGGAAAGGGGAUGAUGCAGCUACUCAAGCCAAGAUCCAGUCUUACACCCGCUUGGCGAAGAAGGCCAAGAAUCAUUUCAAGAAGACCGCGAAGAAGACUUCUGUAGAUUGCAGGAUGGUCAUGCUCUUGGCCAAGGCCAGGGAGAUCUCUGUCUCUCUGCUGGAGUCCACACUCCGUCUCUUGUCGAAGCAAAUUGAAAUGCCUAAACAGUCUCUUGUUUUCAAGGCAUUUCACAAAAAGAAGUCAGUUUUCUGCAAGGAAGAGCAAUUGUCAGAGUUAGAGUGCAGUAUCGUACAUCUUGAGAUCGGAGCAGGACAUCUGUUCAGGAAGUUAGUCCAGAGCAGAGUUUCUCUACUCAACAUCCUUAGCUCAUAG